GAUGAACGCUGGCGGCGUGCCUAAUACAUGCAAGUCGAGCGAACAGACGAGGAGCUUGCUCCUCUGACGUUAGCGGCGGACGGGUGAGUAACACGUGGAUAACCUACCUAUAAGACUGGGAUAACUUCGGGAAACCGGAGCUAAUACCGGAUAAUAUAUUGAACCGCAUGGUUCAAUAGUGAAAGACGGUUUUGCUGUCACUUAUAGAUGGAUCCGCGCCGCAUUAGCUAGUUGGUAAGGUAACGGCUUACCAAGGCAACGAUGCGUAGCCGACCUGAGAGGGUGAUCGGCCACACUGGAACUGAGACACGGUCCAGACUCCUACGGGAGGCAGCAGUAGGGAAUCUUCCGCAAUGGGCGAAAGCCUGACGGAGCAACGCCGCGUGAGUGAUGAAGGUCUUCGGAUCGUAAAACUCCGUUAUUAGGGAAGAACAAAUGUGUAAGUAACUUUGCACGUCUUGACGGUACCUAAUCAGAAAGCCACGGCUAACUACGUG
RNAcentral lists this ribosomal RNA (497 nucleotides) under uncultured bacterium. RNAcentral describes it as "partial 16S ribosomal RNA". It matches the Rfam family "Bacterial small subunit ribosomal RNA", at positions 28 to 507 of the family's 1533-position model. The record is from RNAcentral.